This 779-nucleotide ribosomal RNA is filed under the name uncultured Neocallimastigales. Its description in RNAcentral is "partial large subunit ribosomal RNA". It matches the Rfam family "Eukaryotic large subunit ribosomal RNA", at positions 24 to 610 of the family's 3401-position model. The record is from RNAcentral. Lineage: Eukaryota; Fungi; Neocallimastigomycota; Neocallimastigomycetes; Neocallimastigales.
UUAUCUCUGUAGAGUCUGCAUAUCAAUAAGCGGAGGAAAAGAAACUAACUAGGAUUCCCUCAGUAACGGCGAGUGGAAGCGGGAAGAGCUCAAAUUUGAAAUCUUCAAGGUUCUACCUUGACGAAUUGUAGUUUAAAGAAGUGUUUUCUGUUGAGUGUUUCGGUAAAAGUUCUUUGGAAUAGGACAUCAUAGAGGGUGAGAAUCCCGUAUUUGACCAUUACUUUCAGCUGUGUGAUACACUUUCAAAGAGUCGGAUUGUUUGGGAAUGCAGUCCAAAAUGGGUGGUAAAUUUCAUCUAAAGCUAAAUAUUGGCGAGAGACCGAUAGCGAACAAGUACCGUGAGGGAAAGAUGAAAAGAACUUUGAAAAGAGAGUUAAACAGUACGUGAAAUUGUCAAAAGGGAAGCGUUUGACACCAGUGUUGUUUUCUCGAAAAUCAAUUAAAAAAUGGCAGUGAUUUUGUGUUGUAUUGACCUUAAAAGCUUUCUUCACUUUUUUCAUGUCUUUUUUAAUGCACUUUUCGUUUAACAAGUCAACAUCAGUUUCUUUUGUUGUAAAAAGGUCAUUGGAAGGUGGCUUUCUUUUCGGAGAAAGUGUUUAUAGCCUUUGACUUCUGCAAUCGGAGAGGCUGAGGUCUGCAGCGUAGAUCCUUCUGGAUUAGAUUCAUUUGUGCUAAGUUACAACCGUUUAUAGACAACUUGUUGACUAUAUUCGAUCCUGUAGCUUACUCGCUUAUGUAAUUUUACCUACGCUUAGGAUGUUGAUAGUCACAGCGUGUAC